Molecule: ribosomal RNA, 253 nt
Filed under: uncultured bacterium
Lineage: Bacteria
Description: partial 16S ribosomal RNA
Rfam family: Bacterial small subunit ribosomal RNA
Source: RNAcentral
UACAGAGGUCUCAAGCGUUGUUCGGAUUCAUUGGGCGUAAAGUGUGCGUAGGCGGCGCGGUAAGUCGGGUGUGAAAUCUCGGGGCUUAACUCCGAAACUGCAUUCGAUACUGCCGUGCUUGAGGACUGGAGAGGAGACUGGAAUUUACGGUGUAGCGGUGAAAUGCGUAGAUAUCGUAAGGAAGACCAGUGGCGAAGGCGGGUCUCUGGACAGUUCCUGACGCUGAGGCACGAAGGCCAGGGGAGCAAACGGG